GACGAACGCUGGCGGCGUGCUUAACACAUGCAAGUCGAACGAUGAUCAGGAGCUUGCUCCUGUGAUUAGUGGCGAACGGGUGAGUAACACGUGAGUAACCUGCCCCUGACUCUGGGAUAAGCGUUGGAAACGACGUCUAAUACUGGAUAUGAUCACUGGCCGCAUGGUCUGGUGGUGGAAAGAUUUUUUGGUUGGGGAUGGACUCGCGGCCUAUCAGCUUGUUGGUGAGGUAAUGGCUCACCAAGGCGACGACGGGUAGCCGGCCUGAGAGGGUGACCGGCCACAACGGGACUGAGACACGGCCCAGACUCCUACGGGAGGCAGCAGUGGGGAAUAUUGCACAAUGGGCGAAAGCCUGAUGCAGCAACGCCGCGUGAGGGAUGACGGCCUUCGGGUUGUAAACCUCUUUUAGUAGGGAAGAAGCGAAAGUGACGGUACCUGCAGAAAAAGCACCGGCUAACUACGUG
This 467-nucleotide ribosomal RNA is filed under the name uncultured bacterium. Its description in RNAcentral is "partial 16S ribosomal RNA". It matches the Rfam family "Bacterial small subunit ribosomal RNA", at positions 28 to 507 of the family's 1533-position model. The record is from RNAcentral.